Molecule: ribosomal RNA, 472 nt
Filed under: uncultured bacterium
Lineage: Bacteria
Description: bacterial SSU rRNA
Rfam family: Bacterial small subunit ribosomal RNA
Source: RNAcentral
AACGAACGCUGGCGGCGUGGAUAAGACAUGCAAGUCGAACGGGAACUUCAGCUGUAGCAAUACAGUUGCAGUUUUAGUGGCGAACGGGUGCGUAACACGUGGGCAAUCUGCCGAGAAGUGGGGGAUAGCUCGCCGAAAGGCGAAUUAAUACCGCAUAUGAUCAGCUAAGACAUCUUAGCGACAUCAAAGCCGGGGCAACCUGGCGCUUUUUGAGGAGCCCGCGGCCUAUCAGCUAGUUGGUGAGGUAACGGCUCACCAAGGCUAUGACGGGUAGCUGGUCUGAGAGGACGACCAGUCACACUGGAACUGAGACACGGUCCAGACACCUACGGGUGGCAGCAGUCGAGAAUUUUUCUCAAUGGGGCAACCCUGAAGGAGCGACGCCGCGUGGAGGAUGAAGGCUUUCGGGUUGUAAACUCCUGUCAUUUGAGAACAAGGUGCAUCGGUUAACUGCCGAUGCAUUGAUAGUAUC